Molecule: ribosomal RNA, 595 nt
Filed under: uncultured bacterium
Lineage: Bacteria
Description: bacterial SSU rRNA
Rfam family: Bacterial small subunit ribosomal RNA (bases 1-514)
Source: RNAcentral
CCUACGGGAGGCAGCAGUGGGGAAUAUUGGACAAUGGGCGCAAGCCUGAUCCAGCAAUGCCGCGUGAGUGAUGAAGGCCUUAGGGUUGUAAAGCUCUUUCGCACGCGACGAUGAUGACGGUAGCGUGAGAAGAAGCCCCGGCUAACUUCGUGCCAGCAGCCGCGGUAAUACGAAGGGGGCUAGCGUUGUUCGGAAUUACUGGGCGUAAAGGGCGCGUAGGCGGCCUGUUUAGUCAGAAGUGAAAGCCCCGGGCUCAACCUGGGAAAUAGACUUUUGAUACUGGCAGGCUUGAGUUCCGGAGAGGAUGGUGGAAUUCCCAGUGUAGAGGUGAAAUUCGUAGAUAUUGGGAAGAACACCGGUGGCGAAGGCGGCCAUCUGGACGGACACUGACGCUGAGGCGCGAAAGCGUGGGGAGCGAAACAGGAUUAGAUACCCCCGGUAGUCCACGCCGUAAACGNUGAUGCUAGACGUCGGGGUNGNUGCACUCGUGUCGCCGCUACGCNUAGCNUCCGUCCGUCGGGNGGUCGGCCGCGAACGGUUAAACGUACGAAGAGUAAGUAGCGUUGNGNGCGCGACGACGACGACGAGGAGGGAG